GACGAACGCUGGCGGCGUGCUUAACACAUGCAAGUCGAACGGAAAGGCCCUGCUUUUGUGGGGUGCUCGAGUGGCGAACGGGUGAGUAACACGUGAGUACCCUGCCCUUGACUUUGGGAUAACUUCAGGAAACUGGGGCUAAUACCGGAUAGGAGCUCCUGCUGCAUGGUGGGGGUUGGAAAGUUUCGGCGGUUGGGGAUGGACUCGCGGCUUAUCAGCUUGUUGGUGGGGUAGUGGCUUACCAAGGCUUUGACGGGUAGCCGGCAUGAGAGGGUGACCGGCGACAUGGGGACUAAGAGAGGGCGCAGAGGCCGAUGGGGGGCAGCAGGAGGGAGUAUGGUACAGUGAUGGGGAGCGUGAGGCGGCGACGCCGGGGGUGUGAAGAAGGUUUGCGGGGAGAGAACCGCUUGGGCCUGAGACGGAGGGUGGAUGACGGUAAUGGGUAAAGAAGCACCGGCUAACUACGUG
This 468-nucleotide ribosomal RNA is filed under the name uncultured bacterium. Its description in RNAcentral is "partial 16S ribosomal RNA". It matches the Rfam family "Bacterial small subunit ribosomal RNA", at positions 28 to 507 of the family's 1533-position model. The record is from RNAcentral.